This 297-nucleotide ribosomal RNA is filed under the name uncultured bacterium. RNAcentral describes it as "partial 16S ribosomal RNA". It matches the Rfam family "Bacterial small subunit ribosomal RNA", at positions 28 to 307 of the family's 1533-position model. The record is from RNAcentral.
GAUGAACGCCGGCGGCGUGCUUAACACAUGCAAGUCGAGCGAAGCGCUUUGGUUAGAUUCUUCGGAUGAAGACCUUUGUGACUGAGCGGCGGACGGGUGAGUAACGCGUGGGUAACCUGCCUCAUACAGGGGGAUAACAGUUAGAAAUGACUGCUAAUACCGCAUAAGACCACAGUACCGCAUGGUACAGGGGUAAAAACUCCGGUGGUAUGAGAUGGACCCGCGUCUGAUUAGCUGGUUGGUGGGGUAACGGCCUACCAAGGCUGUGAUGCGUAGCCGAGUUGAGAGACUGAUCGG